Molecule: small RNA, 128 nt
Filed under: Pseudomonas sp. 9Ag
Lineage: Bacteria; Pseudomonadati; Pseudomonadota; Gammaproteobacteria; Pseudomonadales; Pseudomonadaceae
Description: P11
Rfam family: Pseudomonas sRNA P11
About the family: P11 is located between a putative threonine protein kinase and putative nitrate reductase and appears to be conserved in several Pseudomonas species. P11 has a predicted Rho independent terminator at the 3'end but the function of P11 is unknown.
Source: RNAcentral
CAAAUGCCCCGUUGGCACAGCCUCUGCAUUAUCUGCCUUACAUAUGCCAGACCUUCAACGUGGAGGGUCGGGCUCCGAAUACGGAAAAAAGGACAAAGGCGUCCUCACUGGGAGAUCAGUGGGACGCC